RNAcentral lists this ribosomal RNA (492 nucleotides) under uncultured bacterium. RNAcentral describes it as "partial 16S ribosomal RNA". It matches the Rfam family "Bacterial small subunit ribosomal RNA", at positions 29 to 507 of the family's 1533-position model. The record is from RNAcentral.
AGUGAACGCUGGCGGUAGGCCUAACACAUGCAAGUCGAACGGCAGCACAGUAAGAGCUUGCUCUUACGGGUGGCGAGUGGCGGACGGGUGAGGAAUACAUCGGAAUCUACUUUUUCGUGGGGGAUAACGUAGGGAAACUUACGCUAAUACCGCAUACGACCUACGGGUGAAAGCAGGGGAUCUCCGGACCUUGCGCGAUUGAAUGAGCCGAUGUCGGAUUAGCUAGUUGGCGGGGUAAAGGCCCACCAAGGCGACGAUCCGUAGCUGGUCUGAGAGGAUGAUCAGCCACACUGGAACUGAGACACGGUCCAGACUCCUACGGGAGGCAGCAGUGGGGAAUAUUGGACAAAGGGCGCAAGCCUGAUCCAGCCAUACCGCGUGGGUGAAGAAGGCCUUCGGGUUGUAAAGCCCUUUUGUUGGGAAAGAAAAGCAGCAGGUUAAUACCCCGCUGCUCUGACGGUACCCAAAGAAUAAGCACCGGCUAACUUCGUG